UGGGGAAUAUUGGGCAAUGGAGGAAACUCUGACCCAGCAACGCCGCGUGAAGGAUGAAGGUUUUCGGAUUGUAAACUUCUGUCGCGAGGGAUGAAGAAUGACGGUACCUCGUAAGAAAGCCCCGGCAAACUACGUGCCAGCAGCCGCGGUAAUACGUAGGGGGCGAGCGUUGUCCGGAAUGACUGGGCGUAAAGGGAGUGUAGGCGGCAUAUUAAGUUAUGUGUGAAAGCCCGCGGCUCAACCGCGGAAUUGCACAUAAAACUGGUAAGCUGGAGUGCAGGAGAGGUAAGUGGAAUUCCCGGUGUAGCGGUGGAAUGCGUAGAUAUCGGGAGGAACACCAGAGGCGAAGGCGACUUACUGGACUGUAACUGACGCUGAGGCUCGAAAGCGUGGGGAGCAAACAGG
RNAcentral lists this ribosomal RNA (405 nucleotides) under uncultured bacterium. RNAcentral's name for it is "bacterial SSU rRNA". It matches the Rfam family "Bacterial small subunit ribosomal RNA", at positions 355 to 776 of the family's 1533-position model. The record is from RNAcentral.